AUUGAACGCUGGCGGCAGGCCUAACACAUGCAAGUCGAACGAGUGGCGGACGGGUGAGUAAUGUCUGGGAAACUGCCUGAUGGAGGGGGAUAACUACUGGAAACGGUAGCUAAUACCGCAUACCAUCGGAUGUGCCCAGAUGGGAUUAGCUAGUCGGUGGGGUAACGGCUCACCUAGGCGACGAUCCCUAGCUGAGCUGAGAGGAUGACCAGCCACACUGGAACGGAGACACGGCCCAGACUCCUACGGGAGGCAGCAGUGGGGAAUAUUGCACAAUGGGCGAAAGGCUGAUGCAGAAAUGCCGCGUGAAUGAAGAAGGCUUUCGGAUUGUAAAGUUCUUUCGGCGAGGAAGCGUUACUCAACGAAGAAGCACCGGCUAACUCCGUGCCAGCAGCCGCGGUAAUAC
This 406-nucleotide ribosomal RNA is filed under the name uncultured bacterium. Its description in RNAcentral is "partial 16S ribosomal RNA". It matches the Rfam family "Bacterial small subunit ribosomal RNA", at positions 30 to 526 of the family's 1533-position model. The record is from RNAcentral.